This 66-nucleotide transfer RNA is filed under the name Glossotermes oculatus. Its description in RNAcentral is "tRNA-Ser". The record is from RNAcentral. Lineage: Eukaryota; Metazoa; Arthropoda; Insecta; Blattodea; Rhinotermitidae.
GAGGUAAAUGUAAGAGUGAAUGCUGCUAACUUAUCACUAUAGCGGUUAAAAUCCGUUUAUGCUUCU